UAAUUUGGGAUAGAUGAACUCAUGAUGGU
Molecule: non-coding RNA, 29 nt
Filed under: Mus musculus (house mouse)
Lineage: Eukaryota; Metazoa; Chordata; Mammalia; Rodentia; Muridae
Source: RNAcentral